RNAcentral lists this ribosomal RNA (453 nucleotides) under Channa gachua (dwarf snakehead). Its description in RNAcentral is "partial 12S ribosomal RNA". It matches the Rfam family "Bacterial small subunit ribosomal RNA", at positions 752 to 1414 of the family's 1533-position model. Lineage: Eukaryota; Metazoa; Chordata; Actinopteri; Anabantiformes; Channidae. The record is from RNAcentral.
UUAAAAAGCUUUCAAACUGGGAUUAGAUACCCCACUAUGCUUAGCCCUAAACAUUAAUAGCACCCCACACAGCUAUUCGCCAGGGAACUACGAGCAUGAGCUCAAAACCCAAAGGACUUGGCGGUGCUUAAGAUCCACCUAGAGGAGCCUGUUCUAGAACCGAUACCCCCCGUUCAACCUCACCCUCUCUUGACCUUUCCGCCUAUAUACCGCCGUCGUCAGCUUACCCUGUGAAGGAACCAUAAUAAGCAAAACUGGCACAGCCCCAAACGUCAGGUCGAGGUGCAGCGUAUGAGAGGGGAAGAAAUGGGCUACAUUGACUACUUUAGUGAAUACGAAUGAUGCGCUGAAACGCACAUCCGAAGGAGGAUUUAGCAGUAAGCAGAGAAUAGAGCGCUCCGCUGAAAUAGGCUCUAAAGCGCGCACACACCGCCCGUCACCCUCUGCAGUCAA